RNAcentral lists this ribosomal RNA (267 nucleotides) under uncultured bacterium. RNAcentral's name for it is "partial 16S ribosomal RNA". It matches the Rfam family "Bacterial small subunit ribosomal RNA", at positions 335 to 596 of the family's 1533-position model. The record is from RNAcentral.
ACUCCUACGGGAGGCAGCAGUGGGGAAUAUUGCACAAUGGGCGCAAGCCUGAUGCAGCCAUGCCGCGUGUAUGAAGAAGGCCUUCGGUUGUAAGUACUUUCAGCAGUGAGGAAGGUGGGUAUGUUAAUAGCAUACUCAUUUGACGUUAGCUGCAGAAGAAGCACCGGCUAACUCCGUGCCAGCAGCCGCGGUAAUACGGAGGGUGCGAGCGUUAAUCGGAAUUACUGGGCGUAAAGCGCAUGCAGGUGGUUUGUUAAGUCAGAUGUG